RNAcentral lists this unclassified non-coding RNA (243 nucleotides) under uncultured fungus. RNAcentral's name for it is "sequence contains ITS1, 5.8S rRNA gene". The stretch from base 195 to 243 matches the Rfam family "5.8S ribosomal RNA", at positions 1 to 49 of the family's 154-position model. The record is from RNAcentral. Lineage: Eukaryota; Fungi.
UUUCCGUAGGUGAACCUGCGGAAGGAUCAUUAUAGAGUUUAUUCCCUAACGGGUAGACCUCCCACCCUUUGUUAUACCUACCUUUGUUGCUUUGGCAGGCCGCCUUCGGGCUAUCGGCUUCGGCUGGUGCGUGCCUGCCAGAGGACCCCAACUCUUUUGUUUAUAUGUCGUCUGAGUACUAAAUAAUAAGUUAAAACUUUCAACAACGGAUCUCUUGGUUCUGGCAUCGAUGAAGAACGCAGC